GAUGAACGCUGACAGAAUGCUUAACACAUGCAAGUCAACUUGAAUUUGGGUUUUUAACUUAGAUUUGGGUGGCGGACGGGUGAGUAACGCGUAAAGAACUUGCCUCACAGCUAGGGACAACAUUUGGAAACGAAUGCUAAUACCUGAUAUUAUGAUUUUAGGGCAUCCUAGAAUUAUGAAAGCUAUAUGCGCUGUGAGAGAGCUUUGCGUCCCAUUAGCUAGUUGGAGAGGUAACGGCUCACCAAGGCGAUGAUGGGUAGCCGGCCUGAGAGGGUGAUCGGCCACAAGGGGACUGAGACACGGCCCUUACUCCUACGGGAGGCAGCAGUGGGGAAUAUUGGACAAUGGACCAAGAGUCUGAUCCAGCAAUUCUGUGUGCACGAUGAAGUUUUUCGGAAUGUAAAGUGCUUUCAGUUGGGAAGAAAAAAAUGACGGUACCAACAGAAGAAGUGACGGCUAAAUACGUGCCAGCAGCCGCGGUAAUACGUAUGUCACAAGCGUUAUCCGGAUUUAUUGGGCGUAAAGCGCGUCUAGGUGGUUAUAUAAGUCUGAUGUGAAAAUGCAGGGCUCAACUCUGUAUUGCGUUGGAAACUGUGUAACUAGAGUACUGGAGAGGUAAGCGGAACUACAAGUGUAGAGGUGAAAUUCGUAGAUAUUUGUAGGAAUGCCGAUGGGGAAGCCAGCUUACUGGACAGAUACUGACGCUGAAGCGCGAAAGCGUGGGUAGCAAACAGG
RNAcentral lists this ribosomal RNA (735 nucleotides) under uncultured Fusobacterium sp. RNAcentral's name for it is "bacterial SSU rRNA". It matches the Rfam family "Bacterial small subunit ribosomal RNA", at positions 28 to 776 of the family's 1533-position model. Lineage: Bacteria; Fusobacteriati; Fusobacteriota; Fusobacteriia; Fusobacteriales; Fusobacteriaceae. The record is from RNAcentral.